Molecule: non-coding RNA, 84 nt
Organism: Trametopsis cervina
Lineage: Eukaryota; Fungi; Basidiomycota; Agaricomycetes; Polyporales; Irpicaceae
Source: the annotation of a GenBank genome assembly
UCCCUGGUAGUAUAUCGGUUAGUACACGCGCCUGUCAUCGCCUAGCGGUCGCGCGAAAGCGGGGUUCGACUCCCCGCCAGGGAG